This 301-nucleotide ribosomal RNA is filed under the name uncultured bacterium. Its description in RNAcentral is "partial 16S ribosomal RNA". It matches the Rfam family "Bacterial small subunit ribosomal RNA", at positions 509 to 807 of the family's 1533-position model. The record is from RNAcentral.
CGGCCGCCGCGGUAAUACGAAGGGUGCAAGCGUUACUCGGAAUUACUGGGCGUAAAGCGUGCGUAGGUGGUGGUUUAAGUCCGUUGUGAAAGCCCUGGGCUCAACCUGGGAAUUGCAGUGGAUACUGGGUCACUAGAGUGUGGUAGAGGAUAGUGGAAUUUCCGGUGUAGCAGUGAAAUGCGUAGAGAUCGGAAGGAACAUCUGUGGCGAAGGCGACUAUCUGGGCCAACACUGACACUGAGGCACGAAAGCGUGGGGAGCAAACAGGAUUAGAUACCCGCGUAGUCCCUGUCUCUUAUAC